AACAUCGCGCACCUGCGGGAACCUGCGGAAGGAUCAUCAUUGAAUAACUUUUUUCCAAGCUUUCAGGGGGGAGGGGGGAAGAGGAAACCCUUUCCUUUUUUUUCCUGGCUUGGCAAACAACUUUAAUACCCAAAAAGAGUUUCAUCUUCAUCUUUGGCUUCAGCUUUUCAGCUUAUUUUAUUAGGUAGGCUGAUGGCUGGAAAUGAAGAGGAGAGGAAAAGGGAAAGGAAAGGGGUUUUU
This 240-nucleotide unclassified non-coding RNA is filed under the name soil metagenome. RNAcentral describes it as "partial contains 5.8S ribosomal RNA, internal transcribed spacer 2, and large subunit ribosomal RNA". The record is from RNAcentral.